UACGAAGGGGGCUAGCGUUGCUCGGAAUCACUGGGCGUAAAGCGCACGUAGGCGGAUUGUUAAGUCAGGGGUGAAAUCCUGGAGCUCAACUCCAGAACUGCCUUUGAUACUGGCGAUCUUGAGUCCGGGAGAGGUGAGUGGAACUGCGAGUGUAGAGGUGAAAUUCGUAGAUAUCGUGAGGAAGACCAGUGGCGAAGGCGGAUCUCUGGACAGUUCCUGACGCUGAGGCGCGAAGGCCAGGGGAGCAAACGGG
This 253-nucleotide ribosomal RNA is filed under the name uncultured bacterium. Its description in RNAcentral is "partial 16S ribosomal RNA". It matches the Rfam family "Bacterial small subunit ribosomal RNA", at positions 524 to 776 of the family's 1533-position model. The record is from RNAcentral.